AACCCAGGACCUACUUGGAAAGGCAUGCUGGGUCUCUUCCACAGACUUUAAGCUCUCCCUACACCAGAAUUUAGGUGAGUGCUUUGAGGACAUGAAGCUAUUCCUCCCACCACCAGUAGCCUUGGGCUGGCCCACGCCAACUGUGGAGCUGGAGCGGGAGGGAGGAGUACAGACAUGGAAUUUUAAUUCUGUAAUCCAGGGCUUCAGUUAUGUACAACAUCCAUGCCAUUUGAUGAUUCCACCACUCCUUUUCCAUCUCCCAGAAGCCUGCUUUUUAAUGCCCGCUUAAUAUUAUCAGAGCCGAGCCUGGAAUCAAACUGCCUCUUUCAAAACCUGCCACUAUAUCCUGGCUUUGUGACCUCAGCCAAGUUGCUUGACUAUUCUCAGUCUCAGUUUCUGCACCUGUCAAAUAGGGUUUAUGUUAACCUAACUUUCAGGGCUGUCAGGAUUAAAUGAGCAUGAACCACAUAAAAUGUUUGGUGUAUAGUAAGUGUACAGUAAAUACUUCCAUUAUCAGUCCCUGCAAUUCUAUUUUUCUUCCUUCUCUACACAGCCCCUGUCUGGCUUUAAAAUGUCCUGCCCUGCUUUUUAUGAGUGGAUACCCCCAGCCCUAUGUGGAUUAGCAAGUUAAGUAAUGACACUCAGAGACAGUUCCAUCUUUGUCCAUAACUUGCUCUGUGAUCCAGUGUGCAUCACUCAAACAGACUAUCUCUUUUCUCCUACAAAACAGACAGCUGCCUCUCAGAUAAUGUUGGGGGCAUAGGAGGAAUGGGAAGCCCGCUAAGAGAACAGAAGUCAAAAACAGUUGGGUUCUAGAUGGGAGGAGGUGUGCGUGCACAUGUAUGUUUGUGUUUCAGGUCUUGGAAUCUCAGCAGGUCAGUCACAUUGCAGUGUGUCGCUUCACCUGGCUCCCUCUUUUAAAGAUUUUCCUUCCCUCUUUCCAACUCCCUGGGUCCUGGAUCCUCCAACAGUGUCAGGGUUAGAUGCCUUUUAUGGGCCACUUGCAUUAGUGUCCUGAUAGAGGCUUAAUCACUGCUCAGAAACUGCCUUCUGCCCACUGGCAAAGGGAGGCAGGGGAAAUACAUGAUUCUAAUUAAUGGUCCAGGCAGAGAGGACACUCAGAAUUUCAGGACUGAAGAGUAUACAUGUGUGUGAUGGUAAAUGGGCAAAAAUCAUCCCUUGGCUUCUCAUGCAUAAUGCAUGGGCACACAGACUCAAACCCUCUCUCACACACAUACACAUAUACAUUGUUAUUCCACACACAAGGCAUAAUCCCAGUGUCCAGUGCACAUGCAUACACGCACACAUUCCCUUCCUAGGCCACUGUAUUGCUUUCCUAGGGCAUCUUCUUAUAAGACACCAGUCGUAUAAGGAGCCCACCCCACUCAUCUGAGCUUAUCAACCAAUUACAUUAGGAAAGACUGUAUUUCCUAGUAAGGUCACAUUCAGUAGUACUGAGGGUUGGGACUUCAACACAGCUUUUUGGGGGAUCAUAAUUCAACCCAUGACAGCCACUGAGAUUAUUAUAUCUCCAGAGAAUAAAUGUGUGGAGUUAAAAGGAAGAUACAUGUGGUACAAGGGGUGGUAAGGCAAGGGUAAAAGGGGAGGGAGGGGAUUGAACUAGACACAGACACAUGAGCAGGACUUUGGGGAGUGUGUUUUAUAUCUGUCAGAUGCCUAGAACAGCACCUGAAAUAUGGGACUCAAUCAUUUUAGUCCCCUUCUUUCUAUAAGUGUGUGUGUGCGGAUAUGUGUGCUAGAUGUUCUUGCUGUGUUAGGAGGUGAUAAACAUUUGUCCAUGUUAUAUAGGUGGAAAGGGUCAGACUACUAAAUUGUGAAGACAUCAUCUGUCUGCAUUUAUUGAGAAUGUGAAUAUGAAACAAGCUGCAAGUAUUCUAUAAAUGUUCACUGUUAUUAGAUAUUGUAUGUCUUUGUGUCCUUUUAUUCAUGAAUUCUUGCACAUUAUGAAGAAAGAGUCCAUGUGGUCAGUGUCUUACCCGGUGUAGGGUAAAUGCACCUGAUAGCAAUAACUUAAGCACACCUUUAUAAUGACCCUAUAUGGCAGAUGCUCCUGAAUGUGUGUUUCGAGCUAGAAAAUCCGGGAGUGGCCAAUCGGAGAUUCGUUUCUUAUCUAUAAUAGACAUCUGAGCCCCUGGCCCAUCCCAUGAAACCCAGGCUGUAGAGAGGAUUGAGGCCUUAAGUUUUGGGUUAAAUGACAGUUGCCAGGUGUCGCUCAUUAGGGAAAGGGGUUAAGUGAAAAUGCUGUAUAAACUGCAUGAUGUUUGCAGGCAGUUGUGGUUUUCCUGCCCAGCCUGCCACCACCGGGCCAUGCGGAUAUGUUGUCCAGCCCAACACCACAGGACCAUUUCUGUAUGUAAGACAAUUCUAUCCAGCCCGCCACCUCUGGACUCCCUCCCCUGUAUGUAAGCCCUCAAUAAAACCCCACGUCUCUUUUG
This 2456-nucleotide long non-coding RNA is filed under the name Homo sapiens (human). RNAcentral's name for it is "HSALNT0308841". The record is from RNAcentral. Lineage: Eukaryota; Metazoa; Chordata; Mammalia; Primates; Hominidae.